Molecule: long non-coding RNA, 359 nt
Filed under: Homo sapiens (human)
Lineage: Eukaryota; Metazoa; Chordata; Mammalia; Primates; Hominidae
Description: HSALNT0190775
Source: RNAcentral
CAUUGCGGAUCAGUUGGUGUUCUUGCCAGAGGCCUAGCAGCAGCUUCCUAGCGCUACUACUUGCACCUCCCAAGGCAGCUGAGCCUCCCCACUUCUCUGGCCAGACACACUCCUACCGUGCAUCGUAGAACCACCUCUCUGACGCCAGCAGGACCUUAGUAAGAGUAAUGGAUCCUUGGUGAGGAGAUAUGGAUGCUGUCAGAGAAGGCAAAUGCCUGCAGUGGAUCGAAGAGGUUUUCAAGGAGUUCCAUUUCCAGAAUGUGGUUUCCUCCCAGAAUGAGAGUAUUUGGUCUAAGAUACAAGAAGAGUAACUCAGUGUUGUCAUCACUGAUGAGCAAGAGAUAUUUAUUACAAAGAAG